This 253-nucleotide ribosomal RNA is filed under the name uncultured bacterium. Its description in RNAcentral is "partial 16S ribosomal RNA". It matches the Rfam family "Bacterial small subunit ribosomal RNA", at positions 524 to 776 of the family's 1533-position model. The record is from RNAcentral.
GACGAACCGUGCGAACGUUGUUCGGAAUCACUGGGCUUAAAGGGCGCGUAGGCGGCUGCGCAAGUCGGGGGUGAAAUCCCUCGGCUUAACCGAGGAACUGCCGUCCAAACUGCUUCGCUUGAGACCGGGAGAGGUGAGCGGAAUUCCCAGUGUAGCGGUGAAAUGCGUAGAUAUUGGGAGGAACACCAGUGGCGAAGGCGGCUCACUGGACCGGUACUGACGCUGAUGCGCGAAAGCGUGGGGAGCAAACGGG